Molecule: ribosomal RNA, 440 nt
Filed under: uncultured bacterium
Lineage: Bacteria
Description: partial 16S ribosomal RNA
Rfam family: Bacterial small subunit ribosomal RNA
Source: RNAcentral
CCUACGGGAGGCAGCAGUGGGGAAUAUUGCACAAUGGGGGAAACCCUGAUGCAGCGACGCCGCGUGAGUGAAGAAGUAAUUCGUUAUGUAAAGCUCUAUCAGCAGGGAAGAAAAUGACGGUACCUGAGUAAGCAGCCCCGGCUAACUACGUGCCAGCAGCCGCGGUAAUACGUAGGGGGCAAGCGUUAUCCGGAUUUACUGGGUGGAAAGGGAGCGUAGACGGCAGUGCAAGUCUGGAGUGAAAGGCGGGGGCUCAACCCCCGGACUGCUCUGGAAACUGUACGGCUGGAGUGCAGGAGAGGUAAGUGGAAUUCCUAGUGUAGCGGUGAAAUGCGUAGAUAUUAGGAGGAACACCAGUGGCGAAGGCGGCUUACUGGACUGUAACUGACGUUGAGGCUCGAAAGCGUGGGGAGCAAACAGGAUUAGAUACCCCUGUAGUC